This 105-nucleotide transfer RNA is filed under the name Neolecta irregularis DAH-3. It matches the Rfam family "tRNA". Rfam says of the family: Transfer RNA (tRNA) molecules are approximately 80 nucleotides in length. Their secondary structure includes four short double-helical elements and three loops (D, anti-codon, and T loops). The record is from Rfam by way of RNAcentral. Lineage: Eukaryota; Fungi; Ascomycota; Neolectomycetes; Neolectales; Neolectaceae.
GCCCGGUUGGCGCAAUCGGUAGCGCGUGGGACUUUUACGCGCUAUCACAGGUGCAAAAACAUAAAUGCUAUCCCAAGGUCGAGGGUUCGAGCCCCUCAUCGGGCG